Molecule: unclassified non-coding RNA, 447 nt
Filed under: Hevea brasiliensis (rubber tree)
Lineage: Eukaryota; Viridiplantae; Streptophyta; Magnoliopsida; Malpighiales; Euphorbiaceae
Source: RNAcentral
CUCGCUGUCGCGUCUCUGCUCCCUCGCUCUCCGUCGCUGUCGCGCUGUCGCGUCUUCUCCCUCGCCGACGGCGGCCGACGACCCUCCGACCCUCGCAACUCUCACUCUCUGUUUUCAGAAUGGAAAGAAGACAUCACGUUUUCUCUGUAGAUCUUCUUGAAAGAUAUGCCACAAAAGGCCGUGGAGCCAUUACAUGCAUGGCGACUGGCAAUGAUGUCAUCGUUCUUGGAACCAACAAAGGCUGGGUGAUCAGACAUGACUUUGGAGUGGGUGAUUCUUAUGAUAUAGAUCUCUCUGUUGGCAGGCCUGGGGAACAAUCAAUUCAUAAGGUUUUCGUUGACCCUGGAGGGAGCCACUGUAUUGCCACUGUUAUUGGCAGCAGUGGUGCCGAUACAUAUUAUACUCAUGCUAAAUGGACAAAGCCACGUAUUUUGAGCAAACUAAAAG